RNAcentral lists this ribosomal RNA (794 nucleotides) under uncultured Thermococcus sp. RNAcentral describes it as "bacterial SSU rRNA". It matches the Rfam family "Archaeal small subunit ribosomal RNA", at positions 85 to 876 of the family's 1478-position model. Lineage: Archaea; Methanobacteriati; Methanobacteriota; Thermococci; Thermococcales; Thermococcaceae. The record is from RNAcentral.
ACGGCUCAGUAACACGUCGGUAACCUACCCUCGGGAGGGGGAUAACCCCGGGAAACUGGGGCUAAUUCCCCAUAGGCCUGAGGUACUGGAAGGUCCUCAGGCCGAAAGGGACUUAUGUCCGCCCGAGGAUGGGCCGGCGGCCGAUUAGGUAGUUGGUGGGGUAAUGGCCCACCAAGCCGAAGAUCGGUAUGGGCUGUGAGAGCAGGAGCCCGGAGAUGGACACUGAGACACGGGUCCAGGCCCUACGGGGCGCAGCAGGCGCGAAACCUCCGCAAUGCGGGAAACCGCGACGGGGGGACCCCGAGUGCCGUGGCAACGCCACGGCUUUUCCGGAGUGUAAAAAGCUCCGGGAAUAAGGGCUGGGCAAGGCCGGUGGCAGCCGCCGCGGUAAUACCGGCGGCCCGAGUGGUGGCCGCUAUUAUUGGGCCUAAAGCGUCCGUAGCCGGGCCCGUAAGUCCCUGGCGAAAUCCCACGGCUCAACCGUGGGGCUUGCUGGGGAUACUGCGGGUCUUGGGACCGGGAGAGGCGGGGGGUACCCCUGGGGUAGGGGUGAAAUCCUAUAAUCCCAGGGGGACCGCCAGUGGCGAAGGCGCCCCGCUGGAACGGGUCCGACGGUGAGGGACGAAGGCCAGGGGAGCAAACCGGAUUAGAUACCCGGGUAGUCCUGGCUGUAAAGGAUGCGGGCUAGGUGUCGGGUGAGCCUCGAGCUCGCCCGGUGCCGUAGGGAAGCCGUUAAGCCCGCCGCCUGGGGAGUACGGCCGCAAGGCUGAAACUUAAAGGAAUUGGCGGGGGAG